GCAACGUCGGGCAGUCAGGUCCAACUUCAUCAAUUGCCGAAUGAACGGCCUCUGCUUUGCUGCUUCCAGUCACAACUAUAGCUACAUUGGACGCGGAGUUGAUAACUGGCAAAGUGAAAGUAAUCCUCUCUGGAGGGGGUUUGGGUGAGUCAGUGAGAAACGUUACCCACUCUUCUUUCUCAUCAAGUAUGGAGUGAUUAGGGAAAAGAGACGCAACA
This 218-nucleotide unclassified non-coding RNA is filed under the name Hevea brasiliensis (rubber tree). The record is from RNAcentral. Lineage: Eukaryota; Viridiplantae; Streptophyta; Magnoliopsida; Malpighiales; Euphorbiaceae.